Molecule: small RNA, 559 nt
Filed under: Pan troglodytes (chimpanzee)
Lineage: Eukaryota; Metazoa; Chordata; Mammalia; Primates; Hominidae
Description: retained intron
Source: RNAcentral
AGAGGAGAGAGCGAGAGAGGGAUCCAGACCCCAGUUCGCCGACUAAGCAGAAGAAAGAUCAAAAACCGGAAAAGAGGAGAAGAGCAAACAGGCACUUUGAGGAACAAUCCCUUUAACUCCAAGCCGACAGCGGUCUAGGAAUUCAAGUUCAGUGCCUACCGAAGACAAAGGCGCCCCGAGGGAGUGGCGGUGCGACCCCAGGGCGUGGGCCCGGCCGCGGAGCCCACACUGCCCGGCUGACCCGGUGGUCUCGGACCAUGUCUCCCGCCCCAAGACCCUCCCGUUGUCUCCUGCUCCCCCUGCUCACGCUCGGCACCGCGCUCGCCUCCCUCGGCUCGGCCCAAAGCAGCAGCUUCAGCCCCGAAGCCUGGCUACAGCAAUAUGGCUACCUGCCUCCCGGGGACCUACGUACCCACACACAGCGCUCACCCCAGUCACUCUCAGCGGCCAUCGCUGCCAUGCAGAAGUUUUACGGCUUGCAAGUAACAGGCAAAGCUGAUGCAGACACCAUGAAGUAAGUGCUAGACCCUGGCAGGAGUUCUGCCUAGCAUCCACUGAC